ACACUGACGUCGCGACGCAUAUCAAUAAGCGGAGGAAAAGAAACUAACAAGGAUUCCCUUAGUAACGGCGAGUGAAGCGGGAAGAGCUCAAAUUUGAAAUCUUCAAGGUCUUACCUUGACGAAUUGUAGUUUAAAGAAGUGUUUUCUGCUGAAGUUUUGGUAAAAGUUCUUUGGAAUAGGACAUCAUAGAGGGUGAGAAUCCCGUAUUUGGAUCCUUUACUUCAGCGUUGUGAUACACUUUCAAAGAGUCGGAUUGUUUGGGAAUGCAGUCCAAAAUGGGUGGUAAAUUUCAUCUAAAGCUAAAUAUUGGCGAGAGACCGAUAGCGAACAAGUACCGUGAGGGAAAGAUGAAAAGAACUUUGAAAAGAGAGUUAAACAGUACGUGAAAUUGUCAAAAGGGAAGCGUUUGACACCAGUGUUGUUUUUCCGAAAAUCAAUUACGAAUGUUUUAUUUUUGAGAAGUUAUGACUUCAUCGGCUUGCUUCUCUCUUUAUGAAACUUUCUUAAUGCACUUUUCGGUUAACAAGUCAACAUCAAUUUCUUUUGUUGUAAAAGGGUAUGAGGAAGGUGGCUUUCUUUUCGGAGAAAGUGUUUAUAGCCUUGUAGCCUCUGCAAUCGGAGAGAUUGAGGUCUGCAGCGUAGAUCCUUCGGGGUUAGAUACAUUUGUGCUAAGUUAUAGCUUUUCAUAGACAACUUGUUGACUAUAAUUUAGUCUUAUAGCUUACUCGCUUAUGCUAUUUUACCUACGCUUAGGAUGUUGAUGUGAUACUGCGAGCA
This 777-nucleotide ribosomal RNA is filed under the name uncultured Neocallimastigales. RNAcentral describes it as "partial large subunit ribosomal RNA". It matches the Rfam family "Eukaryotic large subunit ribosomal RNA", at positions 25 to 646 of the family's 3401-position model. Lineage: Eukaryota; Fungi; Neocallimastigomycota; Neocallimastigomycetes; Neocallimastigales. The record is from RNAcentral.